RNAcentral lists this long non-coding RNA (471 nucleotides) under Capsella rubella. RNAcentral describes it as "long non-coding RNA (CRUB_LNC000827)". Lineage: Eukaryota; Viridiplantae; Streptophyta; Magnoliopsida; Brassicales; Brassicaceae. The record is from RNAcentral.
UUUUAGAAAUCUAAAGAACAAAAACUACAAAAAUAAUAAGCUUAAUUUUUUUAACACCCCGAGGUUCACAAGCCGAACAAAUCGAUUUCGAAGUGUCCUUGGAGUUGGUGGUACCGACGGCGACGAGUGUUAAAACUGAACCAAUCGAUCGUCAUCUUCUAUCUUUUAUCGUUUUGACACAUUUUCCUCUAUUUUUCUCUCAAAUUCUUCUUUCGGCUCCAGGCUCUAAUAGGUCGAUAAACCUAUAAAAACUAAAAAAAAAAAUCGAAGUCUAACUUAUUUAAGGACAUAUUUGCCGCCUCAUCAAGUCAAAAUGUCUUUUCUUUACUUGUUCUCUUCACUUUCUCCUUUAGGAACUUCUUUUAAUCCACCUCACCAAGUCCAAUUUCACCACAUAUUGAGCAAUGAAUUAUGGGUCUCUCUUAUCAUAGUCCUUUCACUUCAUGCUUCUUCUUCUUCUUUUUGUUGGCA